Molecule: ribosomal RNA, 910 nt
Filed under: uncultured bacterium
Lineage: Bacteria
Description: bacterial SSU rRNA
Rfam family: Bacterial small subunit ribosomal RNA
Source: RNAcentral
AGAGUUUGAUCAUGGCUCAGAUUGAACGCUGGCGGCAUGCUUUACACAUGCAAGUCGAACGGUAACAGGUCUUCGGAUGCUGACGAGUGGCGAACGGGUGAGUAAUACAUCGGAACGUGCCUAGUAGUGGGGGAUAACUACUCGAAAGAGUAGCUAAUACCGCAUGAGAUCUACGGAUGAAAGCAGGGGACCUUCGGGCCUUGUGCUACUAGAGCGGCUGAUGGCAGAUUAGGUAGUUGGUGGGGUAAAGGCUUACCAAGCCUGCGAUCUGUAGCUGGUCUGAGAGGACGACCAGCCACACUGGGACUGAGACACGGCCCAGACUCCUACGGGAGGCUGCAGUGGGGAAUUUUGGACAAUGGGCGAAAGCCUGAUCCAGCAAUGCCGCGUGCAGGAUGAAGGCCCUCGGGUUGUAAACUGCUUUUGUACGGAACGAAAAGCCUGGGGCUAAUAUCCCCGGGUCAUGACGGUACCGUAAGAAUAAGCACCGGCUAACUACGUGCCAGCAGCCGCGGUAAUACGUAGGGUGCAAGCGUUAAUCGGAAUUACUGGGCGUAAAGCGUGCGCAGGCGGUUUUGUAAGACAGUGGUGAAAUCCCCGGGCUCAACCUGGGAACUGCCAUUGUGACUGCAAGGCUAGAGUGCGGCAGAGGGGGAUGGAAUUCCGCGUGUAGCAGUGAAAUGCGUAGAUAUGCGGAGGAACACCGAUGGCGAAGGCAAUCCCCUGGGCCUGCACUGACGCUCAUGCACGAAAGCGUGGGGAGCAAACAGGAUUAGAUACCCUGGUAGUCCACGCCCUAAACGAUGUCAACUGGUUGUUGGGUCUUAACUGACUCAGUAACGAAGCUAACGCGUGAAGUUGACCGCCUGGGGAGUACGGCCGCAAGGUUGAAACUCAAAUGAAUUGACGG